UGAACUGAGACCUCAAGUGCCGGCCCUGAU
Molecule: non-coding RNA, 30 nt
Filed under: Mus musculus (house mouse)
Lineage: Eukaryota; Metazoa; Chordata; Mammalia; Rodentia; Muridae
Source: RNAcentral